CAGCUCCUCAUUUUCUGUCUGGGAUUACAUAGAGACAGAAGGAUGUGAGGAAGCCUACAUCUACAGAAGAUCUGUGGUUAGUUCUUCGAGAUGUUUGGAACAACCUACCUGCGUACCUACCUUGAGUUCCU
This is a long non-coding RNA of Nanorana parkeri, 131 nucleotides long. RefSeq lists it as uncharacterized. NCBI's taxonomy places the organism in Eukaryota, Metazoa, Chordata, Amphibia, Anura, Dicroglossidae. The transcript is spliced from 3 exons. The record is from RefSeq and is a predicted model, not a curated record.